CUACGGGUGGCACCAGUGGGGAAUAUUGGACAAUGGGGGAGACCCUGAUCCAGCAAUGCCGCGUGUGUGAAGAAGGCCUGCGGGUUGUAAAGCACUUUCGGUUGGGAGGACUGCUUCUAGCACUAAUAUUGUUGGAAGUUGACGUUACCUUCAGAAGAAGCACCGGCUAACUCCGUGCCAGCAGCCGCGGUAAUACGGAGGGUGCACGCGUUAAUCGGAAUUACUGGGCGUAAAGCGCGCGUAGGCGGCUAGAUCAGUCGGGUGUGAAAGCCCCGGGCUUAACCUGGGAACUGCAUCCGAUACUGUCUAGCUUGAGUACAGGAGAGGAGAGUGGAAUUCCACAUGUAGCGGUGAAAUGCGUAGAUAUGUGGUGGAACACCAAUGGCGAAGGCAGCUCUCUGGCCUGAUACUGACGCUGAGGUGCGAAAGCGUGGGGAGCAAACAGGAUUAGAUACCCCGGUAGUC
RNAcentral lists this ribosomal RNA (465 nucleotides) under uncultured bacterium. Its description in RNAcentral is "partial 16S ribosomal RNA". It matches the Rfam family "Bacterial small subunit ribosomal RNA", at positions 339 to 795 of the family's 1533-position model. The record is from RNAcentral.